GGGCGUGUAGCUCAGUGGUAGAGCAGCGCCUUUACACGGCGCUGGUCGGCGGUUCGAACCCGUCCACGCCCA
RNAcentral lists this transfer RNA (72 nucleotides) under Streptomyces fildesensis. RNAcentral's name for it is "tRNA-Val". It matches the Rfam family "tRNA". From Rfam's summary of the family: Transfer RNA (tRNA) molecules are approximately 80 nucleotides in length. Their secondary structure includes four short double-helical elements and three loops (D, anti-codon, and T loops). The record is from RNAcentral. Lineage: Bacteria; Bacillati; Actinomycetota; Actinomycetes; Kitasatosporales; Streptomycetaceae. RNAcentral also lists the same sequence under 11 other names.